This 492-nucleotide ribosomal RNA is filed under the name uncultured bacterium. RNAcentral describes it as "partial 16S ribosomal RNA". It matches the Rfam family "Bacterial small subunit ribosomal RNA", at positions 29 to 507 of the family's 1533-position model. The record is from RNAcentral.
AGUGAACGCUGGCGGUAGGCCUAACACAUGCAAGUCGAACGGCAGCACAGUAAGAGCUUGCUCUUACGGGUGGCGAGUGGCGGACGGGGGAGGAAUACAUCGGAAUCUACUUUUUUGUGGGGGAUAACGUAGGGAAACUUACGCUAAUACCGCAUACGACCUACGGGUGAAAGCAGGGGAUCUUUGGACCUUGCGCGAUUGAAUGAGCCGAUGUCGGAUUAGCUAGUUGGCGGGGUAAAGGCCCACCAAGGCGACGAUCCGUAGCUUGUCUGAGAGGAUGAUCAGCCACACUGGAACUGAGACACGGUCCAGACUCCUACGGGAGGCAGCAGUGGGGAAUAUUGGACAAUGGGCGCAAGCCUGAUCCAGCCAUACCGCGUGGGUGAAGAAGGCCUUCGGGUUGUAAAGCCCUUUUGUUGGGAAAGAAAAGCAGCAGGUUAAUACCCCGCUGUUCUGACGGUACCCAAAGAAUAAGCACCGGCUAACUUCGUG